UAACCAAAGGAGAAGGGCCUGGCCGCCUGGCCUUGGUUUCCUCCUAGGCAGGGUUCCAGCCCCACGGUCUUGGUUGGCCAGCUGAAGAAGACUCCUGCUGCCAUUGCCUUGUGCAGGCGGCCAGGCCUCUUCCCAGCGAGCCGCAAGGACAGCCACCUGCGCUCUCUCGGCCCUUCCCCACCCCGCCCUCCAAGGGUUAGAAGGAUAAGGGAAGACAGCUCCCCUCCUUACUCUCAGGCACCCACAGAUUUCCGCGCUGCCGUCACCACUGACGAGAACCCAGGUCCCCAGGAGGAAUCGCUUCUCCUCAUUCCAUCCUCCCUAUCAAUGAACACGCAGCAACACCCACGCUCCCGCUCCUCCUACUCCGGAGGGAGACCGAACCCGAGAGCGACAUCCGGAGCUGGAAGCUGCUGCGGUCAAGUGGCUGCAGAAUGUUUCCAGUCCCGAGGGUUGGGAUGUUGCUUUGGCAAUGGAAGGCAGUUUUUGCAUCACUGGGCCUGAUUUUAGCCCCUGGACUUCAAGGGGAUUCCUCAUGGUCGGAAGAUUUUGAAACUGUGCGGUUCCCUGCCCAGCGUGGAGCCCAACGUGUGGCUUGAACUCAUGAUGCUAAACUCAAGAACUGAGCUGAGAUCAAGAGUUGGACACUUGAAUGACUGAGCCACUCAGAUGAGAAAAGUAAAUUCAGAGAGUUAAAGGACUAACCCAAGAUGGUUAGAAGAACCAGAAGGUGAAAUCCAUGCUCUGGAUUUCAGUAACUUAUGGUCAACACUAGUAUUUGCUCAACAGGUGAUAGCCAGCAGGUUUUAAAUUGCUAAUCUCCUGUCACCCCCAGACACACAUCUGGGCCAUCUUCUCCUCAUGACCAAUCAGCGUCUGCUCCUAGUGAAAUAAUCUUUGGUGAAAUCUGUACGGAAGAACAAGGACAUGCAUUUUCUAGCCAGGCAUUAAUGAGACCCAUACUACUGCUUAUCUCUAUUACUCUGAAAAAUACACUUGAAUCACUCCUUUAUUGUAUCCAUCAAUGAAAUCACCAAUUUCAGUAAUUCUCAGUCCUCCUGAAGUCAACAAAUACUAGGAUGUCACCAAUUUUUUAAGAGAUGUUGUAGAAGUUACACAUUCAUUCUGAAAACAAGAAAAGCAAACACCCUUGUCCUAAAAACAACCCGCACGGAAUUGAAAAGUGUGACCUUCGCCAUCAAAUAUCUGAACUCUUCUACUUCAAGUAACUCUGUUAAUACUGCUUCCACUCCAGAAGUCACCUAAACUUUGUAAACUUUAGUUUUGCAUGGCUAAUAGAGAUAAAAGUGUACUAGCUUCGUAAGUGUCUUGUGGUUAUUUAAAAAAAGCCAGCACAGGGAAUAGCUUACAGACUUAGAAACAACAAAGUGAUGUCAAAUAGGAGUGGUGAUGAGGUGAAGAAUAUUAAGCAGGUGAAUGGGAAAGAGAGUGAGGUAGAAGAGGACGCUUGGACAGGGCAGAUGGGGAAGGCUGGUGUUGCAGAGGAGAUGCUUAAGCUCAGGGCUGAAUAUCCUGCAGGAGGUGGACAUGCCAGAGGAAGGCUGUGGUGCCCAGCUUCAGUGUGGAAGCCCCGAGCUCAAGUUCUCAUUCUGCUACUUCUCACCUCCUUCAUGGUAGACACAUCCAGAUCUCACCACAUUCCUGCUCUGCAAAAAGAAAUGAUCAUGAAGUAGGUGCCUGGGUGGCUCCAUUGGUUGGACGACUGCCUUCAGCUCAGGUCAUGUCCAGGGUCCUGGGAUCGAGUCCCACAUCGGGCUCCCUGCUCCUGUCCUCUCUCACUAUCUCUGUCUCGCUCUCUCCAAUAAAUAAAUUAAAUCUUAAAAAAACAAAACAAAACAUUACUUUCAUUUAUCCACUCACUUUCUCACAUUUCUUUAUUUCCUCAUUCCAUGUCAAGCUCGCUCCGGCAGCACAUAGACUCAUUCAUUGCUCAGGGUUGUUGAAGUCCUGCUGUAAGCCAGAAACUAGAUCGGCACUGGAAGAGCUCUUACAUGUCUGCUUUACAGU
Long non-coding RNA from Mustela lutreola (European mink), 2028 nucleotides. RefSeq lists it as uncharacterized. The record is from RefSeq and is a predicted model, not a curated record. The transcript is spliced from 4 exons. Lineage: Eukaryota; Metazoa; Chordata; Mammalia; Carnivora; Mustelidae.